CUAAAACUCAAAGGAAUUGACGGGGGCCCGCACAAGCGGUGGAGCAUGUGGUUUAAUUCGAGGCAACGCGCAGAACCUUACCAGCCCUUGACAUGUCCAGGACCGGUCGCAGAGAUGUGACCUUCUCUUCGGAGCCUGGAGCACAGGUGCUGCAUGGCUGUCGUCAGCUCGUGUGUGAGAUGUUGGGUUAAGUCCGGCAACGAGCGCAACCCCCGUCCUUAGUUGCUACCAUUUAGUUGAGCACUCUAAGGAGACUGCCGGUGAUAAGCCGCGAGGAAGGUGGGGAUGACGUCAAUCCUCAUGGCCCUUACGGGCUGGGCUACACGCGUGCU
This 332-nucleotide ribosomal RNA is filed under the name uncultured Alphaproteobacteria bacterium. Its description in RNAcentral is "bacterial SSU rRNA". It matches the Rfam family "Bacterial small subunit ribosomal RNA", at positions 894 to 1226 of the family's 1533-position model. Lineage: Bacteria; Pseudomonadati; Pseudomonadota; Alphaproteobacteria. The record is from RNAcentral.